This is an RNA transcript of Zingiber officinale, 1872 nucleotides long. It is a transcript of the gene named protein THYLAKOID ASSEMBLY 8, chloroplastic-like, with no coding region annotated. The record is from RefSeq and is a predicted model, not a curated record. The transcript is spliced from 2 exons. Lineage: Eukaryota; Viridiplantae; Streptophyta; Magnoliopsida; Zingiberales; Zingiberaceae.
UGGCAAGUGCUCUGCCAUGGCGUCCCUCUCCAUCGCCACUACCCUUCCCCUUCACUUCCCGUGCCGUCCGCCCACCGCAGCCACCGUAGGCGUGACGCCUGUGAUAUGCGGCCCGCGAGACAACCGCGGUAAGCUCCUCCGCGGCCGGAGCCUCACCACGGAGGCCAUCCUCGCCGUGCAGGCGCUCAAGCGCGCCGCGGCCGCCGGCGACGAUCCCAAGGUCGAUCGGAUUUUCGCCUCCGACUUCUCCCGCCUCGUCAAAUCGGACCUCCUCGCCGCCCUACGGGAGCUGCAGCGCCAGGACCAGUCGCGCCUCGCCUUGAAAGCCUUCGCUGCCGCCCGAAGCGAACCGUGGUACCGCGUCGAUCUCAACCUCUACGCCGAGAUGGUCUCCACCUUGUCCAGGUGCGGAUCGCCGCACGAGAUCGAUACCCUGGUCGCCGAUCUGAUGGAGGAGGAGGGAUGGCUCUCCGCGGACACCGCCAAGGGUGUUCCCCGACUCGUCAGGGCUCUGACGGCCGCCGGAAGGGGAAAGGUUGUGGCGAACGUCUAUAGGGAAGCAAAGAGAUGCGCGUUCGAGCCGGAUGAGUACUUGUUCAAGUUCAUGAUAAGAGGAUUGAAGAGAUUGGGGCAAGAAGCUGCUGCUGCGGAAGUGGAGAGAGACUACCAGUUAUGGCUUGAAUGCGGAUGCUUCCCUGUGGAAACGCUGCCUGUUUGAUGAAAAGCCUGGUACGCGUUUCUUGCUCGAAUCCUUUUCAUCGUUUUGUUUGAUCCCACUCAUUCAUAUAGCAUCGUGAUCAGGGGCGGAUCCAGGAUUUGAAUAUUGAGGGGGCCAAAACUUGUGUCGCUAUAUUCAUUGUCGAUUGUGUGGGAGAAUUUAGAAUUCAUUACAUAUUUAGAAAACUCCGUGACCUAAAUUUUCUAUUGGUAGUUUGAUAUCAAUAUCUCGAAAUAAUAUUGUGACAUUGAAAUAAGCUGUCGGUCCUUGUUUCACAUCGGAGCUACAUGCGAACUUGUUAGGGUACUCUAAUUACUACAUCAAGUUGAAGCGUCUGAGUAUUCGAAUUGCUUUCCUCUCACAUUCGUGGCAUUCUUCAUAUGCAGGUACUCCUUAUCUAUUACUCUAUUUGCCAUCAAACAAAAAUAUAUAUAGCUUUCACCUACUCAACUUCACCUGUAGAGCCCAAUAAAUUCUUCACUGUUGACCAACAGAGCUCGAUGUUUUUCAGGGGGUCUCUUUGUUGAUCGCAAAAUGCCUCUAUUUGGCAUCCUAUCAUCAAUAUAUACACUAUUUCCAUUCCUUGAAUUUUGUAAUAGCAGAUCUAGAGUCUGUCAAUGUUUUUCUUUGGUUUAGUUUAUCCUUUGUUGAAUAUUCAUUGUAUCUUAUUCUUUGGAACACUCCAGUCUAGAAGAUAUGGAGUCUGUCAAGUCUGCAACUGAAGAGUAGAGACUUCCUCCACACUAUCAGCACCCUACUUUUAUCUUUCUCGUCAUUAGCAACCUCAAUGCCACUGGCUAUGCAAUAUGCUUCAGUGUUCGGAUAAACCUUCACCAUGAUCCACCAACUUCUGGUUUCUCCGGACGGCAAUUUCGAAGAGAUAUCUCUGCUUGAGUCUCUUCAAAUUUUGCUCGUUAGAAGAGAGCUAAAAGCAAGGUUGAUCCAGGAUUUACACAUGGACUGGGGGGGGCCGUGGCCCCCCCAAGUCCCCAUGUAAAUCCGCCUCUGAUCGUGAUCUCGAAGAAUUGCCCGAGUUAGUUGAACUGGAGAUCAAAGCAUGAUAGUUCUUUGAGACUCUUUGUAAUAUACGUAUGCAAGUAUGGUUCUUUGUAACAUUGUGAAUUUGGUUGUCAAUCUUUGAGAUUCUUGCUCAA